Molecule: long non-coding RNA, 463 nt
Filed under: Rosa chinensis
Lineage: Eukaryota; Viridiplantae; Streptophyta; Magnoliopsida; Rosales; Rosaceae
Description: sRNA RchiOBHm_Chr5g0047511
Source: RNAcentral
UUUUCCCCCUCUUCUCUAUCUAUCACGCCCAGGUCUCCCAUCUUCUUUUUUUUUUUUCUCUGCAGCCGCACCACUAGACCCAUAUUCCAUCCCCAUUUUUCCUUUCUCAAACACCAAAGCCGACCUCACCCACUUACCCUCUCUCUAUCUCUUCCUCUCGGCAACACAACCAAGAACCUCCUCACCAAUUUUUUCUCCUCACAAAGAACCUCCUCACCAAGAUCCAUUUCUCUCUCACCUCUCAUUAUUCUUCACCAUUCCUCAAUCAAAUUUAAUCAUUUUGUCAAGGAUCCGGGUUUAGGUAUAAGAGAGAGUAUAAUUCCAAACUAGUCAUUCUCACUCUUUAGUGUAGUUGUGAUUAGUGUUGGUCUCUCUCUUUUCUUUACUCUCUUCUUGCUUUAAUUUUUUGUAAUUGAUGAAUUUCUUUGUGGGGCUUGAAGCCCUAGCAAUUUUUAUCAUGUAA